This 68-nucleotide transfer RNA is filed under the name Marmota monax (woodchuck). RNAcentral's name for it is "tRNA.Ala". Lineage: Eukaryota; Metazoa; Chordata; Mammalia; Rodentia; Sciuridae. The record is from RNAcentral.
GGAUUGUGGCUCAGCGGUAGAGCCUUCAUCUAGCACGUGUGAGGCCCUGGGUUCGAUCUUCAGCACCA